UGGGGAAUAUUGGACAAUGGGGGCAACCCUGAUCCAGCCAUGCCGCGUGUGUGAAGAAGGCCUUUUGGUUGUAAAGCACUUUAAGCAGGGAGGAGAGGCUAAUGGUUAAUACCCAUUAGAUUAGACGUUACCUGCAGAAUAAGCACCGGCUAACUCUGUGCCAGCAGCCGCGGUAAUACAGAGGGUGCGAGCGUUAAUCGGAAUUACUGGGCGUAAAGCGAGUGUAGGUGGCACAUUAAGUCACAUGUGAAAUCCCCGGGCUUAACCUGGGAACUGCAUGUGAUACUGGUGUAGCUAGAAUAUGUGAGAGGGAAGUAGAAUUCCAGGUGUAGCGGUGAAAUGCGUAGAGAUCUGGAGGAAUACCGAUGGCGAAGGCAGCUUCCUGGCAUAAUAUUGACACUGAGAUUCGAAAGCGUGGGUAGCAAACAGG
This 430-nucleotide ribosomal RNA is filed under the name uncultured bacterium. RNAcentral describes it as "bacterial SSU rRNA". It matches the Rfam family "Bacterial small subunit ribosomal RNA", at positions 355 to 776 of the family's 1533-position model. The record is from RNAcentral.